RNAcentral lists this ribosomal RNA (292 nucleotides) under uncultured bacterium. RNAcentral describes it as "partial 16S ribosomal RNA". It matches the Rfam family "Bacterial small subunit ribosomal RNA", at positions 505 to 796 of the family's 1533-position model. The record is from RNAcentral.
GUGUCAGCAGCCGCGGUAAUACGUAGGGUGCAAGCGUUGUCCGGAAUCAUUGGGCGUAAAGCGCGUGUAGGCGGCUUGGUAAGUCAGCUGUGAAAGCCCAGGGCUCAACCCUGGGAUGCCGGUUGAUACUGCCAAGCUCGAGUCCGGAAGAGGAGUGUGGAAUUCCUGGUGUAGCGGUGAAAUGCGCAGAUAUCAGGAGGAACACCAAUGGCGAAGGCAGCACUCUGGGACGUGACUGACGCUGAGACGCGAAAGCGUGGGGAGCAAACAGGAUUAGAAACCCCUGUAGUCC